This 252-nucleotide ribosomal RNA is filed under the name uncultured bacterium. Its description in RNAcentral is "partial 16S ribosomal RNA". It matches the Rfam family "Bacterial small subunit ribosomal RNA", at positions 524 to 776 of the family's 1533-position model. The record is from RNAcentral.
UACGUAGGGGGCAAGCGUUGUCCGGAAUUAUUGGGCGCAAAGCGCGCGCAGGCGGUUUCUUAAGUCUUGUGUUUAAGAUCGGGGCUCAACUCCGGUACGCAUGGGAAACUGGGAGACUGGAGUGCAGGAGAGGAAAGUGGAAUUCCACGUGUAGCGGUGAAAUGCGUAGAGAUGUGGAGGAACACCAGUGGCGAAGGCGACUUUCUGGCCUGUAACUGACGCUGAGGCGCGAAAGCGUGGGGAGCAAACAGG